UACGUAGGGUGCGAGCGUUGUCCGGAAUUAUUGGGCGUAAAGAGCUCGUGGGCGGCUUGUCGCGUCGGAUGUGAAAGCCCGGGGCUUAACUCCGGGUCUGCAUUCGAUACGGGCAGGCUAGAGUUCGGUAGGGGAGAUCGGAAUUCCUGGUGUAGCGGUGAAAUGCGCAGAUAUCAGGAGGAACACCGGUGGCGAAGGCGGAUCUCUGGGCCGAUACUGACGCUGAGGAGCGAAAGCGUGGGGAGCGAACAGG
RNAcentral lists this ribosomal RNA (253 nucleotides) under uncultured bacterium. RNAcentral's name for it is "partial 16S ribosomal RNA". It matches the Rfam family "Bacterial small subunit ribosomal RNA", at positions 524 to 776 of the family's 1533-position model. The record is from RNAcentral.